UGAUUUCUAGCUGCCAAUAUUCAUCUCCGCGGUCCCCGGUUACAAAGUGUCCAUCCACACGCUGGACUCGCUUCUCCCCACACCCGCUCCCCAGACUCGCUACUCCCAUCUCCCCAGGAGAUGAGGAUCAAGGGGAAGAGGACUCUACUCCUGCUGCUGCCCGGUGCGCUGGAUGUGACCGAGACGCGGGCGGGCUCCCAUUCCCUGAGGUAUUUCUACACCGCCGUGUCCCGGCCCGGUCUCGGGGAGCCCCUCUUCAUCAUCGUCGGCUACGUGGACGACACGCAGUUUGUGCGGUUUGACAGCUACGACCCUAAUCCGAGGAUGGAGCCGCGGGCGCGGUGGGUGGAGCAGGAGGGGCCCGAGUAUUGGGAUGAGGAGACUCAGAGAGCCAGAGACGCCGCACAGACUUUCCGAGUGAGCCUGAACACCCUGCGCGGCUACUACAACCAGAGCGAGGCCGGGUCUCACACCCUCCAGGAGAUGUUCGGCUGCGACGUGGGGCCGGAUGGGCGCCUCCGCGGGUUUGAUCAGUUAGCCUACGACGGCAGAGAUUACAUCGCCCUGAACGAGGACCUGAGCUCCUGGACCGCUGCGGACACGGCGGCUCAGAUCACCAAGCGCAAGUUUGAGCAUCGCGGUGUGGCGGAUGACUACAGGAGCUACCUAAACCGCGAGUGAGCGGAGUGGCUCCGCAGAUACCUAGAGAGCGGAAAGAACACGCUGCUGCGCGCAGACCCUCCAACGACACAUGUGACCCAUUACCACAUCUCUGAACGUGAGGUCACCCUGAGGUGCUGGGCCCUGGGCUUCUACCCUGAGGUGAUCUCACUGACCUGGCAGCGUGAUGGGGAGGACCAGACCCAGGACAUGGAGCUUGUGGAGACCAGGCCUUCAGGGGAUGGAACCUUCCAGAAGUGGGCAGCCCUGGUGGUGCCUUCUGGAGAGGAGCAGAAACACACGUGUCAUGUGCAGCAUGAGGGGCUUCAGGAGCCCCUCACCCUGAGAUGGGAACCUCCUCAGCCUUCUAUCCCCACCAUGGGCAUCACUGUUGGCCCGGUUCUCCUCGUGUUGGCUGUGGUGGCUGGAGCUGUGAUCUGGUGGAUGAAGCGCUCAGGUGAACAAGGAGGGAGCUACACUCAGGCUGCAAGCAGUGACAGUGUCCAGAGCUCUGGUGUGUGACCAGGGCUCUCAUGGAUCCUAGAGUGAGAGACAGCUACCUCGUGGGGACAAGAUUCCAUGUCCCAUCCCUGCACUAUGACUUCAAGAUCUUCUGACUUCUCUUUCUGCAGAAGUCAUCUGAAUGUGUCUGUGCUGCUAUUAGCAUAAUGUAAAGAAGUGGUGAGCCUGGCACCCACUCUGUUCACCACAACCCCUUCCCACACUGUACUGUUUUCUCUUCUCUGAUGGUCCUUCCUGAUCCAACAGAGGCUGGGGUUGGGCUGUCUCCAUCUUUGUCUUAACUUCUUUUGCAUUUUCAUAUUUUAUUGAAAAUCAGGAUCCAAACUACAGGUUUCCCCCAUGGGUCCUCAUCUAUCUUGUACCCUAGUGUUUGUCUAUGUGGGUCUGUUUUGUAAAACUGUAAAGAUGUUUGUACAGUUUUAGUAUGUCUAAAUGUCUUUAGUAACAUUAAAAGCAAAGAAAUUGCUUUUCCUUUAUGAUCA
Molecule: non-coding RNA, 1664 nt
Organism: Odocoileus virginianus texanus
Lineage: Eukaryota; Metazoa; Chordata; Mammalia; Artiodactyla; Cervidae
Source: RefSeq, a predicted model, not a curated record